AAUAUUGGUCAAUAGCCUAACGGCUGAACCAGCAACUGGGAGGAAUGUAAUUACUACUAAGUAGUUUAAAUUUCUAGGUAGAAUUAUGAUAAUGACGUUAUCUAUCUNUGAGUCUUGACCAAAUUACGUGCCAGCAGUCGCGGUAAUACGUAGAAGCCAAGUGUUAUUCAUGUUUAUUAGGUUUAAAGAGUACCAAGACGGUUAAUAAAGCCCGAAAUAAAUAAAGGGGACACAUUAACUUGAGUUAUAUGAAAAGAAGCUCUAAGGUACUGUUGAGUGGAGAGAUGAAAUUUUAUGAUACCAGAUGAUUGGCACAGAUUAAUGCGAAGGCAUCUUCUUAUGUAAUAACUGACGUUGUAGGACGAAGGCUUAGGGAGUAAACAGGAUUAGGUACCCUAGUAAUCUAGGCAGAAAAUGAUGAAUGUCAUAGGUAACUAGAUGUCUAUAAAUGAAAGUGUAAGCAUUCCACCUCAAGAGUAAUUUGGCAACAUUGGAACUGAAAUCAUUAGACCGUGUCUGAAACCAGUAGUGAAGUAUGUUGUUUAAUUAGAUGAUACACAAGAACCUUACCACAACUUGAAUAUAUAUAAUUUGUAUUUACAAGCGCUGCACGGCUGUCUACAGUUAAUGUCGUGAGAUUUUGGUUAGCUCCAUAAAAUUGACGUAAACCCUAAUUUUAUUUAUAAAUAUAAUUAACAUUGCUAUAAUUGAUGUUUAAUAGGGAACAUGACAAGUCAUCA
RNAcentral lists this ribosomal RNA (740 nucleotides) under Sticta parvilobata. RNAcentral's name for it is "SSU rRNA". It matches the Rfam family "Bacterial small subunit ribosomal RNA", at positions 360 to 1195 of the family's 1533-position model. The record is from RNAcentral. Lineage: Eukaryota; Fungi; Ascomycota; Lecanoromycetes; Peltigerales; Lobariaceae.